Molecule: long non-coding RNA, 1341 nt
Organism: Humulus lupulus (European hop)
Lineage: Eukaryota; Viridiplantae; Streptophyta; Magnoliopsida; Rosales; Cannabaceae
Exons: 3
Source: RefSeq, a predicted model, not a curated record
UCAAUAAUAAUUUCCAUUGCCAAUAAUAAUAAUAAAAAGGAAAAAAAAUCAACCUAAGUUCUUGAUAUCUAAGCCAAGUGGAGUUGUUCAAUAUUAGUAGAAAUGAUGAAAAUGAAAGAAAAAUCAAGUCUGUCAACUUUUAUUUUCUCAUUUCUUUCUGGAUAUGAUGCAUGCUGGUUAAUUGUAUUUAUGUAUUUACAUAUUUUAUAAAGAUCAUUGAGUCAUUGCCUCGUUUGUUUGAACUUUGAACCAUAUUAUUUUAGUUUGUGAUUUCAUUCUAUUGUAGAUUGUGUGUAUCUGGGUCUGGUUUUUCUGACCAAUUUGAGUGUUGUUGAUUUGUCUGGAUUUUUUUGUACAUAUGUUUUUUUUUCUGUUCAUUGGGUGAUAUCAAAUAAAAGAAAGCUCGUGAUUUUAUUUUAUUGUUCAUUGGGGUGUAUCAUGGGAUCCGUUUAUUUCAUUUUUUUUUGUUUUUCUGAUGCAUUCUUUCUGCCUGACCAUUCAAGUAACGAAAAUAGCAUUUAUAAUUUAUUCCAUUGUUUGAAGAAGUUUAAAUAUAUUUGCGUAAAUUGGUAAGCAAUGAAUAAAUUUUGCAACUUCAGAAAGUAGACCAAUGUUAUUCAGAUUAUAUAUAUAUAUAUUCAUAUAAAUGGGGUGAUAGUCUAUAAAAUCCGAGCUCACUGUGCAAGCUGAGCCAAUCAUGGACCCUUAUGGCCCUUCUAUAGUUGAUGAAAAUUUGGAAGCUAUAGUGGUCAGUAAGGAGACUUUACCAGGUGGAGUUUCAGUCAAUAAAAAGAGAGUUGAAAAAGGGCUUUCACAACUAAAGCUUAAAACAAUGGCCAUGAGUACUUAUCCCCAAAAAAAUCAGAGCUCUAUCUCGCCGUUCUCCUGACUCCGCUACUCUCUCCAUCUUGCUGUCAUCUCUUGGUUUUUCGAGGUACUCUUGCUCGUCUUUGGUGUGUGUGGCGUCGUCUCCGGUGGUGGCUGUUCUCUCAUCUUGUUAAAGGUUUGGCUGUUCUUGGACUUAGUGUUACAAAUAGCAUUUGUUUAUACUAUGUACAUUUGCUUUUGUUGAUUUGUUUAUACUAUCUAGUAUUUUACAAAUUUUUAGUAACGUACUUUAUUAGAAUAUAUAAAGCUGCUAAUGUUUCCAUUUGCACAAGUGUGGAGGUUGUGCAACUAUUGAAAUUGGUUUUGCAGCUUUUGAAUUUCAAAGCUGGGAUGAUUAGUUUUUAUCUAUUUAAAAUAGUAUAGAUUUGUUAAGGAUUAAUAUAUAUGUAAUCACUGUAACUUUGUGAUUUGGAGAGGGCUAUACAAGGGUCUCGUUAUUAGAACUUGAGAAUU